Molecule: ribosomal RNA, 280 nt
Filed under: uncultured bacterium
Lineage: Bacteria
Description: partial 16S ribosomal RNA
Rfam family: Bacterial small subunit ribosomal RNA
Source: RNAcentral
GAUGAACGCUGGCGGCGUGCUUAACACAUGCAAGUCGAACGAACCCUUUCGGGGGUUAGUGGCGGACGGGUGAGUAACGCGUGAGGAUCUGCCCAAAGGACCGGGACAACAGUUAGAAAUGGCUGCUAAAACCGGAUGUGCCGGAGAGGUGAAAUAUUUAUAGCCUUUGGAUGAGCUCGCGUCUGAUUAGCUAGUUGGUGGUGUAAAGGACUACCAAGGCGACGAUCAGUAGCUGUUCUGAGAGGAAGAUCAGCCACACUGGGACUGAGACACGGCCCAG